RNAcentral lists this ribosomal RNA (441 nucleotides) under uncultured bacterium. RNAcentral's name for it is "partial 16S ribosomal RNA". It matches the Rfam family "Bacterial small subunit ribosomal RNA", at positions 338 to 795 of the family's 1533-position model. The record is from RNAcentral.
CCUACGGGUGGCAGCAGUGGGGAAUAUUGCACAAUGGGGGAAACCCUGAUGCAGCAACGCCGCGUGAAGGAAGACGGUUUUCGGAUUGUAAACUUCUGUUCUUAGUGAAGAAUAAUGACGGUACCUGACUAAGAAGCCCCGGCUAACUACGUGCCAGCAGCCGCGGUAAUACGUAGGGGGCAAGCGUUAUCCGGAUUUACUGGGUGUAAAGGGGGCGCAGACGGCAGCGCAAGCCAGGAGUGAAAGCCCGGGGCCCAACCCCGGGACUGCUCUUGGAACUGCGCGGCUGGAGUGCAGGAGGGGCAGGCGGAAUUCCUGGUGUAGCGGUGAAAUGCGUAGAUAUCAGGAGGAACACCGGUGGCGAAGGCGGCCUGCUGGACUGCGACUGACGUUGAGGCCCGAAAGCGUGGGGAGCAAACAGGAUUAGAUACCCGUGUAGUC